GUAGUCCANGCCGUAAACGAUGGAUACUAGCUGUUGGAGGUAUCGACCCCUUCAGUAGCGAAGCUAACGCGUUAAGUAUCCCGCCUGUGGAGUACGGUCGCAAGACUAAAACAUAAAGGAAUUGACGGGGACCCGCACAAGCGGUGGAUCGUGUUCUUUAAUUCGAUGAUAAACGAAGAACCUUACCAGGGUUUGACAUCCUUGGAAUUUCUGUGAAAGCAGAGAGUGCUUUAUUGAGCCAAGUGACAGGUGAUGCAUGGCCGUCGUCAGCUCGUGUCGUGAGAUGUUUGGUUAAGUCCAUCAACGAGCGCAACCCUUGUGAAUAGUUGUAUUUUUCUAUUCAGACUGCCCCGGUAACGGGGAGGAAGGAGGGGAUGAUGUCAGGUCAGUAUUUCCCUUACACCCUGGGCUAGAAACACGAUACAAUGGUUAGUACAAUGCGCAGCGAAGCCGCGAGGUGGAGCAAACCGCAUCAAAGCUAAUCUCAGUUCGGAUAAGAGGCUGAAACUCGCCUCUUUGAAGUCGGAAUCGCUAGUAAUCGCAAAUCAGCAAGUUGCGGUGAAUACGUUCCCGGGUCUUGUACACACCGCCCGUCAAACCAUGAAAGUCACCAACACCCGAAGUCCGAUUCGUCGGCCUAAGGUGGGGGGGAUGAUUGGGGUU
RNAcentral lists this ribosomal RNA (663 nucleotides) under uncultured bacterium. Its description in RNAcentral is "bacterial SSU rRNA". It matches the Rfam family "Bacterial small subunit ribosomal RNA", at positions 790 to 1482 of the family's 1533-position model. The record is from RNAcentral.